Molecule: ribosomal RNA, 497 nt
Filed under: uncultured bacterium
Lineage: Bacteria
Description: partial 16S ribosomal RNA
Rfam family: Bacterial small subunit ribosomal RNA
Source: RNAcentral
GAUGAACGCUGGCGGCGUGCCUAAUACAUGCAAGUCGAGCGAACGGGCGAGGAGCUUGCUUCUCUGUUGAUAGCGGCGGACGGGUGAGUAACGCGUGGAUAAUCUACCUAUAAGACUGGGAUAACUUCGGGAAACGGGAGCUAAUACCGGAUAAUAUCUUGAACCGUAUGGUUCAAAAGUGAAAGACGGUCUUGCUGUCACUUAUAGAUGGAUCCGCGCUGCUUUAGCUAGUUGUUAAGGUAACGGCUUACCACGGGAACUAUGCAUAGCCGACCUGAGAGGGGGAUCGGCCACACUGGAACGGGGCCACGCUCCAGACUCCUACGGGAGGCAGCAGUAGGGAAUCUUCCGCAAUGGGCGAAAGCCUGACGGAGCAACGCGGCGUGAGCGAUGAAGGUCUUCGGAUCGUAAAACUCUGUUAUUAGGGAAGAACAUAUGUGUAAGUAACUGUGCACAUCUUGACGGUACCUAAUCAGAAAGCCACGGCUAACUACGUG